CGGGGACCGUGAUCCGAGCCUCGUUGGGCUCGAUGGUGCAGAACGGGAAGUUCUCGGCGGGAAUCGAGAGCUUCGUGAGCGUGUUGAAAAGCGUUGAUUUGCCGACAUUCGGUAGCCCGACGAUUCCGAUCUUGAGGUGGGAGGAGAAGCGACCGAGGAUGGGGCGCUCCGGGGCGGCGUCCUUUGAUUUGGCGGCCUUCGGCGGCAUCGUGCGGAGAUGAUGAGAAGCUGAGG
Molecule: unclassified non-coding RNA, 234 nt
Filed under: Hevea brasiliensis (rubber tree)
Lineage: Eukaryota; Viridiplantae; Streptophyta; Magnoliopsida; Malpighiales; Euphorbiaceae
Source: RNAcentral